UAGAUCUAGCGUUUUCAGAUGGAGAAUUACCUUUUCAUCAAACGAACGAGCGGCGUGUUGGUAGUUUUUGGGAACAUGCGGUGGUUUUUUCUUGAUUGAUCGAAAAUGGGAAGAUAAGUUUGCUUUCUCGACAAUAAACAUGGCUAAUCGUUGGAGAUUAAGAUGGUCACUCAGUAAGGAAACCUUGUUGACGGAAUUUUGGGUUGCCGGAAAAUAUAGCUAGGGUUUCUUACGGUGGUUUUAUUCAAUAAUAAUCUGUUGGGUUAC
Molecule: long non-coding RNA, 267 nt
Filed under: Lactuca sativa (garden lettuce)
Lineage: Eukaryota; Viridiplantae; Streptophyta; Magnoliopsida; Asterales; Asteraceae
Description: long non-coding RNA (LSAT_LNC003384)
Source: RNAcentral